RNAcentral lists this long non-coding RNA (880 nucleotides) under Struthio camelus australis. Its description in RNAcentral is "lncRNA (ENSSCUG00000018717.1)". The record is from RNAcentral. Lineage: Eukaryota; Metazoa; Chordata; Aves; Struthioniformes; Struthionidae.
GGCCCCGCUUUGUGGUUUCCAGGGCUGACUAAUUUCAGGGAGCCAUAUUAUUUGUUUACUUUCAUCCGUUUAUCUGCUCUCUGCCGUGAGCAAAUAUUUUCAAUGAUAUUACCCUCCUGCCUGAAUAUUGUGGUGAUCUCAGACCUCAUUUCCUGCUAGAAAGCAUAUGAACUCUGCUCUCCACUGGCCUAUUCACACUAUGAACCCAACAGGAUUUCCUGCAGCAGGCUAAGCACAUAUAUGGGAAUCAGCUGGCUUGGCCUAAACUAAAGAAAUAGAUAACAACACUCCAACCAUCUGCUACUGUAUGUGCUGUAUGUGUAGCACUUGUCCCACAAUCUCAGCCUGAAGUAGAUCCACAAAAAAGUAAGAUCAGAGUGGCACACGUAACAUGCAGGAGACAAAGCUUCAAGCCCCUACAGAGGAAUAUACAGAUUCUCAUGGAACAGGAAUAAAUUCACUGGUGAUGAACAGCCUGGAGGAAUGCAAGCAAAAUAUUUACGAUUUUUCAUGACCUGAUCUUUCCUGUACAGAAUAAAUGGAAGUAUGGGCGUUUAAUGAUCAUACAAGACUUCACAGAAGAAGAAUCCCACUCAACACCUACAGUCUUUUUUGCUCCACAGCACUAUGGUAUGCACUCAUCUUCAUGGAGAGAAAAAAAACACGCGUUUUAUAUUCAGUAAGGAAACUGUUACAAGUGAGGAUUUUUCAAGCCUAUGAAGAUCGAACAAAAUGGGAAAACAUAAUAGAAAAUGCAACAAAUCUUUAGUGUUUGAAGAAUGGUGCAAGUAGGCACACAGUGUCUGCACCUUAUCCAAACUGCCACGCUUAUCAGGUUCAUUCUAAUAAACCUAGCGAAGAUCUUAACUGCUGUUUUUAG